UCGCAUUAGCGAUUGAAGCGGCAUCCUUUUCAAACUCUUUGAGUUUGGAAAGAUAGAGCGGAAAGCGCGACCCUUG
Molecule: small RNA, 76 nt
Filed under: Flavobacterium endophyticum
Lineage: Bacteria; Pseudomonadati; Bacteroidota; Flavobacteriia; Flavobacteriales; Flavobacteriaceae
Also listed under: 1 other name
Description: Flavo-1 RNA
Rfam family: Flavo-1 RNA
Source: RNAcentral